CAGCCGCCGCGGUAAUACCGGCGGCCCGAGUGGCGGCCACUAUUAUUGGGCUUAAAGCGUCCGUAGCCGGGUUGGUUAGUCUCCCGGGAAAUCUGGCCGCUUAACGGUCAGAAUUCCGGGAGAUACUGCCAGCCUAGGGACCGGGAGAGGCCGAGGGUAUUCCCGGAGUAGGGGUGAAAUCCUAUAAUCCCGGGAGGACCACCUGUGGCGAAGGCGCUCGGCUGGAACGGGUCCGACGGUGAGGGACGAAGGCCAGGGGAGCAAACCGGAUUAGAUACCCGGGUAGUCCUGGCUGUAAAGGAUGCGGGCUAGGUGUCGGGUGAGCUUCGGGCUCGCCCGGUGCCGUAGGGAAGCCGUUAAGCCCGCCGCCUGGGGAGUACGGCCGCAAGGCUGAAACUUAAAGGAAUUGGCGGG
Molecule: ribosomal RNA, 414 nt
Filed under: uncultured microorganism
Description: bacterial SSU rRNA
Rfam family: Archaeal small subunit ribosomal RNA
Source: RNAcentral